Molecule: non-coding RNA, 343 nt
Organism: Pseudonaja textilis
Lineage: Eukaryota; Metazoa; Chordata; Lepidosauria; Squamata; Elapidae
Source: RefSeq, a predicted model, not a curated record
UUUAAAAAAUGUAGAUACUUCACUGGAUCAUACCCACGCUUAUUUCAAGGCAAAUUAAUUUAGGAAAAUAAAAUCCACCUGAAAAACGGUCCAAAUUAAUUAAAAGAAGGCUGUCUCUCUCUAUCAGAAUAUUACAUUAGCAAUUUUCAAAGUACUCUUAACAUCCUUGGGAAUUUUACAAGAAUAAUUAAUAAUAAGGGUUUCCUGCUACGAUAAUAAGACACCUGCAAUGAUCUGAUGAUACUGGAACCAUGUCAAUCAAUAUGGUGCUCUUUAGGCUAGCAUUCCUUACCUGAACUUGCAGGAAUAAUCCAGUUUCAGAAAAGAAUAUUAACAUAACAAC